GGGGUUGUAGCUCAGCUGGUUUAGAGCGCUCGCCUGUCACGCGAGAGGUCGCGGGUUCAAGUCCCGUCAGCCCCGCCA
Molecule: transfer RNA, 78 nt
Filed under: Candidatus Peregrinibacteria bacterium
Lineage: Bacteria; Candidatus Peregrinibacteriota
Description: tRNA-Asp
Rfam family: tRNA
About the family: Transfer RNA (tRNA) molecules are approximately 80 nucleotides in length. Their secondary structure includes four short double-helical elements and three loops (D, anti-codon, and T loops).
Source: RNAcentral